GAUGAACGCUGGCGGCGUGCCUAAUACAUGCAAGUCGAGCGAACAGACGAGGAGCUUGCUCCUCUGACGUUAGCGGCGGACGGGUGAGUAACACGUGGAUAACCUACCUCUAAGACUGGGAUAACUUCGGGAAACCGGAGCUAAUACCGGAUAAUAUAUUGAACCGCAUGGUUCAAUAGUGAAAGACGGUUUUGCUGUCACUUAUAGAUGGAUCCGCGCCGCAUUAGCUAGUUGGUAAGGUAACGGCUUACCAAGGCGACGAUGCGUAGCCGACCUGAGAGGGUGAUCGGCCACACUGGAACUGUGACACGGUCCAGACUCCUACGGGAGGCAGCAGUAGGGAAUCUUCCGCAAUGGGCGAAAGCCUGACGGAGCAACGCCGCGUGAGUGAUGAAGGUCUUCGGAUCGUAAAACUCUGUUAUUAGGGAAGAACAAAUGUGUAAGUAACUAUGCACGUCUUGACGGUACCUAAUCAGAAAGCCACGGCUAACUACGUG
RNAcentral lists this ribosomal RNA (497 nucleotides) under uncultured bacterium. Its description in RNAcentral is "partial 16S ribosomal RNA". It matches the Rfam family "Bacterial small subunit ribosomal RNA", at positions 28 to 507 of the family's 1533-position model. The record is from RNAcentral.